GACGAACGCUGGCGGCGUGCUUAACACAUGCAAGUCGAACGGAAAGGCCCUUCGGGGUACUCGAGUGGCGAACGGGUGAGUAACACGUGGGUGAUCUGCCCUGCACUUUGGGAUAAGCCUGGGAAACUGGGUCUAAUACCGAAUAGGACCACGCGCUUCAUGGUGUGUGGUGGAAAGCUUUUGCGGUGUGGGAUGGGCCCGCGGCCUAUCAGCUUGUUGGUGGGGUAAUGGCCUACCAAGGCGACGACGGGUAGCCGGCCUGAGAGGGUGACCGGCCACACUGGGACUGAGGUACGGCCCAGACUCCUACGGGAGGCAGCAGUGGGGAAUAUUGCACAAUGGGCGCAAGCCUGAUGCAGCGACGCCGCGUGAGGGAUGACGGCCUUCGGGUUGUAAACCUCUUUCAAUAGGGACGAAGCGAAAGUGACGGUACCUAUAGAAGAAGCACCGGCCAACUACGUG
This 462-nucleotide ribosomal RNA is filed under the name uncultured bacterium. RNAcentral describes it as "partial 16S ribosomal RNA". It matches the Rfam family "Bacterial small subunit ribosomal RNA", at positions 28 to 507 of the family's 1533-position model. The record is from RNAcentral.